GGAGUUUGGGCCGUGUCUCAGUCCCAAUGUGGCCGGUCACCCUCUCAGGCCGGCUAUUGAUCGUCGCUUUGGUAGGCCUCUACCCCACCAACUAGCUAAUCAAACGCGGGUCCAUCUACAAGCGAUAAAUCUUUUCUCACUGUGUCAUGCAACACUGUAAGCUUAUAUUGUAUUAGCAACAAUUUCUCGCUGUUAUCCAAUUCUUGUAGGUAGGUUACCCACGCGUUACUCACCCAUCCGCCACUAGAAUUCUAUCAACUUCAACCGAAGUCUCCGUCAACAGGUUCCCGUUCGACUUGCAUGUGUUAGGCACGCCGCCAGCGUUCAUC
This 329-nucleotide ribosomal RNA is filed under the name uncultured Lachnospiraceae bacterium. RNAcentral's name for it is "partial 16S ribosomal RNA". Lineage: Bacteria; Bacillati; Bacillota; Clostridia; Lachnospirales; Lachnospiraceae. The record is from RNAcentral.